Molecule: ribosomal RNA, 163 nt
Filed under: uncultured bacterium
Lineage: Bacteria
Description: partial 16S rRNA
Rfam family: Bacterial small subunit ribosomal RNA
Source: RNAcentral
UAGGGAAUCUUCCACAAUGGGCGAGAGCCUGAUGGAGCAACGCCGCGUGUGUGAUGAAGGGUUUCGGCUCGUAAAACACUGUUGUAAGAGAAGAAUGACAUUGAGAGUAACUGUUCAAUGUGUGACGGUAUCUUACCAGAAAGGAACGGCUAAAUACGUGCCA